AAAAUGCACCUUCUGAUUUAACACACAUGCCGCAUAACCCAAGAGGAUGGCGUGACUGCUGAUGUGCCCUGUGCUGUCACGGCUGCGAGUCCACCUCAGGGCAACCAGGCCUGCUCUUUCUGUAGUGAGCACGCCGCAGCCCCAAUCUCGGGUUCAAUGUGGAGGACGUGGAACAGGGAACAGUGACGGCUCACUAAGCUGCCUGCAGAGUCUGGGAUGUGUGGGCCAAGGAAAGCACCCAGAGCACAGGAGGCUGGCUUCUACCAAGUGGAGGUCUGACUGGGGAAGGGUGGCCUGCUUCUGAGGAUCCAGAGGGCUGACCGAGAAGGCGCGGACGGAAUUCCUGGGCAGAAGGCAACUCGCUACCACGUGAGGAUCACACUUGCGUCUGUGACACACCGAGUGCUGAGUGCUUUGCUCUCAUUCACCCUCGGAGCAGCCCCACCCUCGUCUCUCCUUUAGAAAUGGAAGCCCAGAGAAGCAGGCGGGUGAACUUGAUGCACCCAGAGUGUCCAAAGGUCAGUCUUGACCAGGUGUGCCAGAAUUCUGAGACGGCUCGAGCUUCUAGUCCCCAGUGCACACGCCCUGUGUAAGCUGCUUUCCUCCGGCGUGGGGGGCCUGCGAAUAUGAUGGGCGUCCCUCCUGAGAGUAGCUUAUGUUCUAUGGCAAAGGCAGUGGGAUGUGGCCGAUGUAAUUAAGGUUUCUAUCCAGUUGGCUUUCAACCCAUCUAAAGGCAGAUUGUCCCAGGUGGGCCUGACCUAACCAGGUGAGCCCAGGCCUUCCCGGAAAAAUGAGACUUGAAGAGGUCAAGGAUUCUCCUGCUGGCCUUAAAGAAGUGAACCACCAUGAGCUCCACAGCCGUGAGGAAGUGAACUCUGACAACAACCACAUGAGCCUGGAUGAGAACUUCACACCUCAGGGGAGACCCCAGCCCUGGCCCAAACCCUUGGGCACGGUCGCAUGAGCUGCAGAGCGGAGCAGCCAGUUCAGCGGAGCCUGGACUCCAGCCCCACGGAAACGGUGAGGUAACAAGUGUGUGCUGCUGUCGGCUGUGAGGCUGGUGGUGACUUGUUACAAUGCAAUAGAAAAAGAAGCCACUGGGCCUGUCUGACGCCCAGUCCAUGCUCUCAGGACUGAGAAGAAACUUCCCUUGAGUGGAACUUCCUGCAGGUCGGGCUGUCCCGCGGCGAAGCUGUCUGCAUUGUCCUGUGAUGCACCCUCUGUCGUUGGAGACGGUUCCCAGAACAGGUUUUCCCAGAUUACUCUGCAGUCGGUAGACAAGGCAGGGAUUUUUAAUUGCGGUGUCUGCUCCCUGGCUCCCAUCUUCCUCCCGUGGCUGCAGUCCCAUUGGAGACAUGGCUGCAAUGCCCAGAUGACCCCUCAGGACCAGAAGACCUGCUCCCUCAGCUGAUGGGCAGUUUCCAGGGGUUGCCUCAUCCAAGGUCGUGCCCCACUUCCUGAGGCAACCUGCACGCAGUGGCCAGCCAAUACCGGUGUGCACCGACCAGCCCCUGGCCCCAGCGAGCACCAGCCCUACAGGGCCCUCUCAGCCUCAGAGCUCCCGCGGGUUCAGCCAAGGUCUCGUUGUGACUUCACCCAGCUCAGCGCCUCCCUUCCGACAGGGUGGACCCUGGGGACCCCCCGCUAACUCACCCCCAGCUGGCAAACCGCUCCCGCAGUUGGCUUUCUGGAGAACCCACUGGGCAAGAGCAAAGCUGUCUCGUCUCAGACUCCGGUGCGGGGGAGAAAGUUAGUGUGACAGCACACAGCACACACUGGCCUAGAACCCCUCUCCGAACUCUUUUUCUCUCCGCAGCCUCUCUGGACAUGGUGCCUAAUAAAUAUUUAUUGUUGAUUUUGACUUGUAAGAAAAGCAUAUUUUACUUUCAUUACAGGAAACUCAAAAGAUUAAGGAUUUUUUUGAUCAUCCUUGAGUUCCCCUUAAUAAUCAGUUUG
Molecule: long non-coding RNA, 1956 nt
Organism: Equus caballus (horse)
Lineage: Eukaryota; Metazoa; Chordata; Mammalia; Perissodactyla; Equidae
Source: Ensembl